GCCUCCCCUUUCUAACGUUGUUCGGAAUCACUGGGCUUAAAGGGCGCGUAGGCGGCUUCGCAAGUCCGGGGUGAAAGCCCCCAGCUUAACUGGGGAAGUGCCUCGGAUACUGCGGAGCUCGAGGGAGGUAGGGGCGGAUGGAACUUCCGGUGGAGCGGUGAAAUGCGUUGAUAUCGGAAGGAACGCCGGUGGCGAAAGCGAUCCGCUGGCCCUCUACUGACGCUGAGGCGCGAAAGCCAGGGGAGCAAACGGG
RNAcentral lists this ribosomal RNA (253 nucleotides) under uncultured bacterium. RNAcentral describes it as "partial 16S ribosomal RNA". It matches the Rfam family "Bacterial small subunit ribosomal RNA", at positions 524 to 776 of the family's 1533-position model. The record is from RNAcentral.